UGAAAAAGUCUAGUGAAGCUUGAUCUGUAUUGAGGGUUCGAUGGAUUUUGAUGUCGAAUUUGUCGUAUUCUUGCCUGUGUUGGCAGUAAAUGUUCAUCUGAAUCCCUGUUUUUAGGUUUUGGUGUUUAUGGACGAUCUGAGGGGGAGAAACAAAGUAUAACAAUAAAUAAGGGAACUGAAAACAGAUAUGUAGUGUAUAUAAAAAAAUGAAUUGGAUGGAAGAAAAAAAUUACGUGCUAUAGCUUUUGUCCUCAUUUUUUCGUCACUGAAGCUGAAGCGACGAUGGAGAGCAACACCAGAUAAAAAUCACUGUUAGAUGCAGCAAAAUAGCAGGUAAUCAAAAAACUAUUCAACAAGUGGCAUGUGCACCACACAAUUACUGUGAGCAGCAUGAAAACAUGGCACAUACAAAUAGCUAUUUCUCAAACAUUGGGGUUAUGCAAACACACAAAAUCACUGUCAGAUCCAGGAAAAUAAGGAGAAACAGCUAUUUUCUCAAAAUCACUGUCAUGCAACACACAAAAUCACUGUACUUAGGCAGGAAAAUAAGGAGAAACAGUUAUUUUCUCAAACAUGGGGGUGAUGCAACACACAAAAUCACUGUACUUAGGCAAGAAAAUAAGGAGAAACAGUUAUUUUCUCAAACAUGGGGGUUAUGCAAACACACAAAAUCACUGUCAGAUUCAGGAAAAUAAGGGGAAACAACUAUUUUCUCAAAAUCACUGUCAUGCAACACACAAAAUCACUGUACUUAGGCAGGAAAAUAAGGAGAAACAGCUAUUUUCUCAAACAUGGGGGUUAUGCAAACACACAAAAUCACUGUCAGAUUCAGGAAAAUAA
Non-coding RNA from Erythranthe guttata (spotted monkey flower), 840 nucleotides. The record is from RefSeq and is a predicted model, not a curated record. Lineage: Eukaryota; Viridiplantae; Streptophyta; Magnoliopsida; Lamiales; Phrymaceae.